AUAGACCAGCCGGUGCUGAUGGGGUCCGGGACUUGACGAUGGCGCCUGCUCGUUCCUGUUGUGUUCUAUCUGAGGCAUGAUUUUCUUUCCUUUUUGGGAGGUAGAGAGCACGGGGCAGAGGUUGCACCUGACACAUUAGAACUCCGUUGUCACUGCUGUGGCUGUUAUUCCCCUCGGCAAGAGCCAAGGAGCAAACAGGACGUGAAGACCCUGGUGUUACACAUCCAAUCGUUCACCUCCUUCCAAGACAAUGACAUUCCAGGAAACCUUCACUGCUAAGAGGAACUGAGAUCUAGAGUAUCUCCUUGAGGAAGUACAACUGCAUUAUAAAUUAAGGAGGAAAAAUAACAAAGAGCUUGAAGACGUGCACAGCUCACAGGCCCUGGGUGGAGGCUGGCGGCAUCAGACAGACAGAACCAAGACAUCUGAGGGGCAACCAGGAGGUGCGUGUGGCUGCAGAGCACACAG
RNAcentral lists this long non-coding RNA (468 nucleotides) under Pongo abelii (Sumatran orangutan). Its description in RNAcentral is "lincRNA". Lineage: Eukaryota; Metazoa; Chordata; Mammalia; Primates; Hominidae. The record is from RNAcentral.